UACGGAGGGGGCAAGCGUUGUUCGGAAUUAUUGGGCGUAAAGCGCUCGUAGGCGGUUUGUUGCGUCGGCCGUGAAAACCUGCAGCUUAACUGUGGGCCUGCGGCCGAUACGGGCAGACUUGAGUUCGGUAGGGGUGACUGGAAUUCCUGGUGUAGCGGUGAAAUGCGCAGAUAUCAGGAGGAACACCGGUGGCGAAGGCGGGUCUCUGGGCCGAUACUGACGCUGAGGAGCGAAAGCGUGGGGAGCGAACAGG
RNAcentral lists this ribosomal RNA (253 nucleotides) under uncultured bacterium. Its description in RNAcentral is "partial 16S ribosomal RNA". It matches the Rfam family "Bacterial small subunit ribosomal RNA", at positions 524 to 776 of the family's 1533-position model. The record is from RNAcentral.